UACAGAGGUCCCAAGCGUUGUUCGGAUUCACUGGGCGUAAAGGGUGCGUAGGCGGCGCGGUAAGUCGGAUGUGAAAUCUCGGAGCUUAACUUCGAAACUGCAUUCGAUACUGCCGUGCUUGAGGACUGGAGAGGAGACUGGAAUUUACGGUGUAGCAGUGAAAUGCGCAGAUAUCGGGAGGAACACCGGUGGCGAAGGCGGCGACCUGGGUCGAGACUGACGCUGAGGCGCGAAAGCGUGGGGAGCAAACAGG
Molecule: ribosomal RNA, 253 nt
Filed under: uncultured bacterium
Lineage: Bacteria
Description: partial 16S ribosomal RNA
Rfam family: Bacterial small subunit ribosomal RNA
Source: RNAcentral